This 424-nucleotide ribosomal RNA is filed under the name uncultured bacterium. RNAcentral's name for it is "bacterial SSU rRNA". It matches the Rfam family "Bacterial small subunit ribosomal RNA", at positions 508 to 930 of the family's 1533-position model. The record is from RNAcentral.
UCAGCAGCCGCGGUAAUACGGGGGGAGCAAGCGUUGUUCGGAAUCACUGGGCGUAAAGGGUGCGCAGGCGGGAGAUUAAGUCGGAUGUGAAAUCCCCAAGCUUAACUUGGGGCCUGCAUUUGAAACUGAUCUUCUUGAGUAUCGGAGAGGAAAGCGGAACUCCAGGUGUAGCGGUGAAAUGCGUAGAUAUCUGGAGGAACACCUGUGGCGAAGGCGGCUUUCUGGCUGAAUACUGACGCUCAUGCACGAAGGCUAGGGGAGCAAACAGGAUUAGAUACCCUGGUAGUCCUAGCGGUAAACGAUGGGCACUAGGUGUCGGGGGUAUCGACCCCCUCGGUGCCGAAGCAAACGCAUUAAGUGCCCCGCCUGGGGAGUACGGCCGCAAGGCUGAAACUCAAAGGAAUUGACGGGGGCCCGCACAAGC